GGGCCCGCACAAGCAGUGGAGUAUGUGGUUUAAUUCGAAGCAACGCGAAGAACCUUACCAGGUCUUGACAUCGUGCGCAUACCAUAGAGAUAUGGGAAGCCCUUCGGGGCGCAUAGACAGGUGGUGCAUGGUUGUCGUCAGCUCGUGUCGUGAGAUGUUGGGUUAAGUCCCGCAACGAGCGCAACCCUUAUUACUAGUUGCUACGCAAGAGCACUCUAGUGAGACUGCCGUUGACAAAACGGAGGAAGGUGGGGAUGACGUCAAAUCAUCAUGCCCCUUAUGACCUGGGCUACACACGUACUACAAUGGCACUUAAACAGAGGGCUGCUACACCGCGAGGUGAAGCGAAUCCCGAAAAAGUGUCUCAGUUCGGAUUGCAGGCUGCAACUCGCCUGCAUGAAGUCGGAAUUGCUAGUAAUCGCGGAUCAGCAUGCCGCGGUGAAUACGUUCCCGGGCCUU
Molecule: ribosomal RNA, 459 nt
Filed under: uncultured bacterium
Lineage: Bacteria
Description: bacterial SSU rRNA
Rfam family: Bacterial small subunit ribosomal RNA
Source: RNAcentral